RNAcentral lists this ribosomal RNA (907 nucleotides) under Hendersonia sabaleos. RNAcentral describes it as "LSU rRNA". It matches the Rfam family "Eukaryotic large subunit ribosomal RNA", at positions 38 to 964 of the family's 3401-position model. Lineage: Eukaryota; Fungi; Ascomycota; Dothideomycetes; Pleosporales; Pleosporaceae. The record is from RNAcentral.
GCAUAUCAAUAAGCGGAGGAAAAGAAACCAACAGGGAUUGCCCUAGUAACGGCGAGUGAAGCGGCAACAGCUCAAAUUUGAAAUCUGGCUCUUUUAGGGUCCGAGUUGUAAUUUGCAGAGGGCGCUUUGGCGUUGGCAGCGGUCCAAGUUCUUUGGAACAGGACGUCACAGAGGGUGAGAAUCCCGUACGUGGUCGCUAGCCUUCGCCGUGUAAAGCCCCUUCGACGAGUCGAGUUGUUUGGGAAUGCAGCUCUAAAUGGGAGGUAAAUUUCUUCUAAAGCUAAAUACUGGCCAGAGACCGAUAGCGCACAAGUAGAGUGAUCGAAAGAUGAAAAGCACUUUGGAAAGAGAGUCAAAUAGCACGUGAAAUUGUUGAAAGGGAAGCGCUUGCAGCCAGACUUGCCUGUAGUUGCUUAUCUGGACUUUUGUCCGGUGCACUCUUCUGCGGGCAGGCCAGCAUCAGUUUGGGCGGUUGGAUAAAGGUCUCUGUCAUGUACCUCCUUUCGGGGAGGCCUUAUAGGGGAGACGACAUGCAACCAGCCUGGACUGAGGUCCGCGCAUCUGCUAGGAUGCUGGCGUAAUGGCUGUAAGCGGCCCGUCUUGAAACACGGACCAAGGAGUCUAACAUCUAUGCGAGUGUUUGGGUGUCAAGCCCAGACGCGUAAUGAAAGUGAACGGAGGUGGGAACCCUUUGGGUGCACCAUCGACCGAUCCUGAUGUCUUCGGAUGGAUUUGAGUAAGAGCAUGGCUGUUGGGACCCGAAAGAUGGUGAACUAUGCUUGAAUAGGGUGAAGCCAGAGGAAACUCUGGUGGAGGCUCGCAGCGGUUCUGACGUGCAAAUCGAUCGUCAAAUUUGGGCAUAGGGGCGAAAGACUAAUCGAACUAUCUAGUAGCUGGGUUCUGCGAG